UUUUUUAAUUGAAAACUCGUAUGAAUGGUUUAACGAAAUAUUAGCUGUUUCAUAAAAAUAAUAAUAGAAAUUAAUUUUUUAGUUAAAAAGCUAAAAUAUAAUUAAAAGACGAGAAGACCCUAUAGAGUUUUAUAUAAAAUUUUUAAAGUUUAUUUAGAAUAGUUUAAAUUUUAUUUUUAUUUAUAUUUUGUUGGGGUGACAAUAAAAUUUUAAUACCUUUUAUUUUUUAUUAACAAUGAUUUUUGAGUAAUUGAUCCACUUUUAGUGAUUAUAAGAUUAAAUUACCUUAGGGAUAACAGCGUAAUUUUUUUGUAGAGUUCUUAUCGAUAAAAAUUUUUGC
This 340-nucleotide ribosomal RNA is filed under the name Exechia fusca. RNAcentral's name for it is "partial 16S ribosomal RNA". Lineage: Eukaryota; Metazoa; Arthropoda; Insecta; Diptera; Mycetophilidae. The record is from RNAcentral.